AAAUUCAGGCAGUUUCGAAGAAACGAUCCCUCAAAACUGGCUCCGCGAAGGAAGCGCUAAAGGCAACAAAACGCGGACGUAGAUAGAGUAGUACCUCAGCGUGUUUGCUUAUGGUCUGGCCGUUUUUUGUUAUUAUCUUUUUUGUGGUCUGAUCAGUUCUAGUAUUGAAAACUGGUAAGCAUCCAUGCAGCAGGAAGUGCUUAUAUAGUGAAAAGGAUGUUGACAGGUAACAUUGUUUCUGCUGGCACUUGCUAUUUAAUGCUGCUUCAUUUUGAAGUUAUUUUCAAUCAAUUAGUUUGAAAUGAAUGAAACUGAUGAUUUUUGGGUAAUGUUAAAGAUUCUGUGUUUUGUACUACUGGCAGAUUAUUUGAUGGAUUUAUUUGAUGAUUGAGCAAAUUGCGGUGGGUAUCUGUGAUUUACACUGAUCAGCCAGUGGUAAACACCAUAGCUGAAGAGCAAGAUGAUAAUGUGAUGUCAGAUAUUAAUCAGGAGCCUCCUUCAGGUACAACCAAAAAGGUGCGAGGGAAGACAAGAGGAGUGAAUGCAGAUAAGGUGUUCUCCCAAUUGAAUUCUAAAAUACCUGUGACUUUGACUGAAGAAAAUGGCAGGCCUACGGGCCCUUAUGCUGAGAUGUUUGCAAAUAAAAUUGGUUACACAAUUCAAAACUACGUCCCACUGAAUGUAGAAAAAUGGAAGAAGAUUGAAAAAGCAGAUGUGGAGAACUUGAUCAAAAGAACCCAAAAUAAGUUUGAAUUUGACAUGUCGCUCCCUUGGGUCCUGAGAUAUGUAAUCAUAACAUGAAGCUGUCAAGACUCAGGAAGAAUGUGAGUUUCUUUGCACUCAUUUUUCUAGUGAAAAGUUUAAGAUUCGCUCAGAGAAGAAUGUUCUUAAUAGGUCAAAGUUGACAUAUCACCACAAAGCUGAGUCAAAAUCAUUUAUGUCACACCAAAAGCAAAUUGUAAGAUAC
Molecule: long non-coding RNA, 967 nt
Organism: Asparagus officinalis (garden asparagus)
Lineage: Eukaryota; Viridiplantae; Streptophyta; Magnoliopsida; Asparagales; Asparagaceae
Exons: 5
Source: RefSeq, a predicted model, not a curated record